AGCUCUGUGCGUCUCUCUAGCUCUUUCCUCACGACCCUUGUUUCAUCUGUUACUGGGAUAAGGGAAAAAGAUCAUCCAUGCCAUGGUUUGAAUCCGUCUUGUUACCAGGUCACCUUUUAAGGAUCGUUGUAUAACCAACUGAUUGAACCGAGUUUUCAGGUUUUUACAGGUAUUUUACUUUGUCUUGGUAUUAGAAAGAGAUUCAAUUGGUUGUGAUUUGUAUUUCUUUACUUGAAUGUUUUACCAAUCACGAAGAGGAAUUAGAGUUUUGAAACAAAUAUUAAGGGGGGAAAGAACAAAACAAAACAUUGAAACAUGGUAAAGGCAAUUUACAGUUACGAAAAAGAUUAUAGAAAGUGAAAACUAAUAAAAGAGAGUUCAAUGCUUACUUGUUUGAGGAACAAGGAGACUGAAUUGAAAUGCUUGAAACUGGGCUAUUCAUUUAUUGCAAAUCCGAAGCAAAACCAAAGGGUCCAAACAUAACCACAAACCAAAAUAAAACAAACCAAAACAACAAGCCCAGGUUGGUCGACUAUCUAUUCAACAGAGGCAUAAUAGACAUCAACAUUUCCAAGCUUAUCUACUUUCCUUUUCCUCUGGUGUUCAGCAACCAAAGAAACUGAAACAACGCUCCCUGUAUCUCUGAUUCCAACAGAUCGUUUCCCACAACUUUGUUGAUGGUGACUCCCAAGCGUCAAGUCCCUACCUGUUGCCGAUUUCAUGAAACCCAACAGUCGAUCCUCAUCCCUAACCCUUAAGACUCCAAAACCCUUGAGCUUCCUCCCACCUUUUUUAUCCCCACUGUUUCAAAUUAGUCAUCUGCGACAACUCUUGCAAACCCCCUUUCUCCAUCCACCAAUAGAGCCCAACGAUCCCUUUCCACUGCCAUCAAAGCAAAAUUUGGCACACCUCCGCUCAGUAUGCAGUUCUUUCCAUAUAUCAUUCACAGAUAGGCAGACUCGAAAAAUAUGCUCCAAAGUUUCAAUACCAACCAAACACUUGGGACACACUGUUGAAUUCCGCAAUUUCCUGUUGUACAGGUUAUAGAAACUAGGAAUAAAAUUAUGGAAAAUCUUCCAAGCUGUAAUUUUUAUUUUCUUAGGUAGCUUAAGUUUCCAUAAUUUAUUGUGAAAAAGUUUCUAAUUUCUAUUAUUCUCAA
This is a long non-coding RNA of Gossypium arboreum, 1159 nucleotides long. RefSeq lists it as uncharacterized. The transcript has 2 exons. Lineage: Eukaryota; Viridiplantae; Streptophyta; Magnoliopsida; Malvales; Malvaceae. The record is from RefSeq and is a predicted model, not a curated record.